CGGCGUGCCUAAUACAUGCAAGUCGAGCGAGCGGGAACCAACAGGAUUUACUUCGGUAAUGACGUUGGGAAAGCGAGCGGCGGAUGGGUGAGUAACACGUGGGGAACCUGCCCCUAAGUCUGGGAUACCAUUUGGAAACAGGUGCUAAUACCGGAUAAUAAAGCAGAUCGCAUGAUCAGCUUUUGAAAGGCGGCGUAAGCUGUCGCUAAGGGAUGGCCCCGCGGUGCAUUAGCUAGUUGGUGAGGUAACGGCCCACCAAGCCGACGAUCAGUAGCCGGUCUGAGAGGAUGAACGGCCACACUGGAACUGAGACACGGUCCAGACUCCUACGGGAGGCAGCAGUGGGGAAUCUUCCGCAAUGGGCGAAAGCCUGACGGAGCAACGCCGCGUGAGUGAUGACGGCCUUCGGGUUGUAAAGCUCUGUGAUCGGGGACGAACGGUCAGCAGACGAAUACUCUGCUGAAGUGACGGUACCCGAAUAGCAAGCCACGGCUAACUACGUG
This 503-nucleotide ribosomal RNA is filed under the name uncultured bacterium. RNAcentral's name for it is "bacterial SSU rRNA". It matches the Rfam family "Bacterial small subunit ribosomal RNA", at positions 40 to 507 of the family's 1533-position model. The record is from RNAcentral.